RNAcentral lists this long non-coding RNA (2052 nucleotides) under Citrus sinensis (sweet orange). RNAcentral's name for it is "long non-coding RNA (CSIN_LNC002576)". The record is from RNAcentral. Lineage: Eukaryota; Viridiplantae; Streptophyta; Magnoliopsida; Sapindales; Rutaceae.
CCAAAUAGGUCCGCCACCAAGAAUUAUAAAAGCCUACCUUUGGCUUCUGAACAAAUACACAACCGGUAGCCAAGAGGAGAAUUGGAGAUUGCAGCCGCAAGAAGAGAAGAUAAAUAAAGGAGGAGUCAGCCCUCUGAAUUAAUCUCCAUGACUGGUUUCAUCAACUAUUUUAUUUCCAAUUCAAUUAUAUUAGGCUAGAUUUUCUAUUUGGUUGAGGGAAAAUUCAAAACCCUAAACAUGUCAUAUAAUUAAUGUUCAAUUUCUAUCAUUCAAUUUAUUUAAUUGAAAUUGUUUAUGUUCUUCUAUAAUCAAUGUUUAUAAUUUUAUUCUUAUUUUAUUUGAGUGGUCAAUUAAAUAAGAGUUGAAUAAAUUCUAUUGAUAGGUUAAAAUUCUUGAUCCAUAAUUGUCAUGAUAUUUUAAUCAUUAGUAGCAUAUUAGAAUCAAUGAUUUCAAUUGGAGAACAUAACCUAUGUUAAAUAAUCUGAGCUUGUGUGUUUAUUACCUAGAUCAACCUGAUAUCUUUCUUGACUUAAUGCUUCCAUUAUAUUUAAAGAGUUUAUUUUAAAUUAUUUAAUGGUUAGAGAUUAGGUGAAGAGCUUGUUUUGUCUAAUGACACACUAAGGAAAGAUUGAGACUAACAUGGUUUAUUAUUGUCUACGAUUGAUAGUUUCAAUAGAAAUUGAUUAUAGAACUGAUAUAUUAUUUCUUUCUUCUUUAAUUAGAGUUUUUAUUAAAUUAUCGUUUUCAUAGUUUUAAUUUCUUUAUUUCCUGCUAUUUAGUUAAAAUUUCAUAAAACCCCCAUUUUAUUUAUAAUUGUCAUUUUCUUUAGUUAUAUUAAUUUAUAUUAUUAUUCUUAUUAUUAUUACUACUAUUAUUAUUUUAUUUUAAGUCCUGCUUUAGAGUUGAUAAUAAAUAUAACUAGCAUAGUCUUUGUGAGAUCGAUCCUUACUUGCUCCGUACUAGUUGUUUAUGUUAUUAGUAAGGUUUUAAAUUUGGUACACCCUAACGACACUACCAAAAAAAAAAUCAGUUAUUUAAGGAUCGAAUAUCCUCGGAGAUCCCUUAUUAUUAUUCGGGGAAGGGACGGGGAUUCCAUUUAGUAAUUCAGAUGGGAGACCGGGAUAUAUACAGAACAUCAGGGAUGAGUACGGAGAUGUCGAUCCCCUCUCUUCCCCUCCCCAUUGCCAUCCCUAAUUCUAGGCACGUCAUACAAUUUGAUUGGUCAGCAAAAUGGCUAGACAUUAUUUGCUAAUUUUUCCAUGCAUGGUGAUUGAGUAUUAGGUGAUUUAUGUUGGAUAUUAUGGGUGAUUAGUAACCUAGAAUGACUAUAAAUAGGUUCAUUAAUUGUGCUUCAACUGUAACAUAUCCAGAAGCUAAAAGAAAUUACAAUUUUCAUGCUUAUCUUAUAGUUUUAUUUGAUUUUUCACUACAUUUUCAUUCAAGGGUAAACCCAUUAUUUGGCUGAAUGGAGUUGUAGUCUGGCAUAGAUAAGAAAAAAAUAGAUUAAUACCUUUAUUAAAAUUUAUAAAACUACCACCACACAUAUAUUACAAAACCACCACUUAAUAUUGAACUCAUAUAUGUCAAUUAUUUAUUUUCACUUUCCCUUUUCUUUUUUAUGACUAUCAAUCGACAAUUAACAAAAUUCAAAGUGUAAGAAUUCACUUGGUUACUAUCAUAUAACACCUUGUUUUUGUAUUAUCUGUGCUUCCUAUAUAUAUCAUCAACAAUUAUAACAAUCUUUCAUAUAUCAUUAUAUAAAAGAGAAAUUAUUAUCUAAGUACUAUACAAAUUCUUUGUUCGACCAACUACGAAAGUUUUUUUAUGGGUAUUUGCUGCAUACCAAUAUUUGUGAAAAUAUUCAACAUGGCUAACUUUAUUUAUAAUAAAAGAGAAAAUAGUUGGCUUAAUAGUUGUCAUCUCCUCAUCUUAUUAUCAAGGUUGAGUUCAUACAUUGUGUGAAUAGAUUUCUAAUUCUUUCAGGGGUAUAUUUUUAAGAUGGGCUUUCUCUAUCAUACAUUGACCUAGGUCCCAAUAAAUUUUUAAUGCACU